This is a small nuclear RNA of Artibeus jamaicensis (Jamaican fruit-eating bat), 164 nucleotides long. RefSeq annotates it as U1 spliceosomal RNA. The record is from RefSeq and is a predicted model, not a curated record. Lineage: Eukaryota; Metazoa; Chordata; Mammalia; Chiroptera; Phyllostomidae. The transcript has a single exon.
AUACAUACCUGGCAGGAGAGAUAUCAUGAUCAUAAAGGUGGGUUUCCCAGGGAGAGGCUGACCCACUGCCCUCCAGGUUUGCUGACGUCUCUGAUUUUCCCAAAUGUUGGGAAAUCGAGUGCAUAAUUUGUGGGAGUAGGUGGCUGUGUUAGCACUCUCCCCUG